CCCUUAGACGUUCUGGGCCGCACGCACGCUACACUGACGAAGGCAACGAGCUUUCCUUUACCGAAAGGUACGGGUAAUCUUUUGAAACUUCGUCGUGCUGGGGAUAGAUCCUUGCAAUUUUUGAUCUUAAACGAGGAAUUCCUAGUAAGCGCAAGUCAUCAACUUGCGUUGAUUACGUCCCUGCCCUUUGUACACACCGCCCGUCGCUACUACCGAUUGAAUGGUUUAGUGAGGCCUUCGGAUCCGCGACUCGUUUUGUGGAGAAGUUGGACAAACUCAGUCAUUUAGAGGAAGUAAAAGUCGUAACA
RNAcentral lists this ribosomal RNA (308 nucleotides) under uncultured eukaryote. Its description in RNAcentral is "partial 18S ribosomal RNA". It matches the Rfam family "Eukaryotic small subunit ribosomal RNA", at positions 1470 to 1796 of the family's 1831-position model. The record is from RNAcentral.